CAAUACAAAGAAGAACCUGCGGAGGGAUCAUUACACAAAAAAAAUAUGAAGGCUGACUGCAGCUGACCUACAUGGCCAGUUUGAUCGAGGCUGAAUUAUUUAUUCACCCUUGUCUUUUGCGCACUUGUUGUUUCCUGGGCGGGUUCGCCCGCCACCAGGACCACACCAUAAACCUUUUUAUCUGUAGUUGCAAUCAGCGUCAGUAACAAAUAAAAAUCAUUUACAACUUUCAACAACGGAUCUCUUGGUUCUGGCAUCGAUGAAGAACGCAGCGAAAUGCGAUACGUAGUGUGAAUUGCAGAAUUCAGUGAAUCAUCGAAUCUUUGAACGCACAUUGCGCCCUUUGGUAUUCCAAAGGGCAUGCCUGUUCGAGCGUCAUUUGUACCCUCAAGCUUUGCUUGGUGUUGGGCGUUUUUAGUCUUUGGCUACAGCCCGAAGACUCGCCUUAAAACGAUUGGCAGCCGGCCUACUGGUUUCGCAGCGCAGCACAUUUUUGCGCUUGCAAUCAGCAAAAGAGGUUGGCGAUCCAUCAAGAUCUUACUUUCUCACUUUUGACCUCGGAUCAGGUAGGGAAGC
This 576-nucleotide ribosomal RNA is filed under the name Curvularia tuberculata. Its description in RNAcentral is "eukaryotic LSU rRNA". The stretch from base 225 to 378 matches the Rfam family "5.8S ribosomal RNA". The record is from RNAcentral. Lineage: Eukaryota; Fungi; Ascomycota; Dothideomycetes; Pleosporales; Pleosporaceae.